Molecule: long non-coding RNA, 1266 nt
Filed under: Bemisia tabaci
Lineage: Eukaryota; Metazoa; Arthropoda; Insecta; Hemiptera; Aleyrodidae
Description: lncRNA ENSSSA3NGG006384
Source: RNAcentral
AAAUGAUCAUGCGCUGGUAUCUUCAGCCUUCCAGUUACCAUUCAGUCGAUUUCAUUUAUGGAAAAAGGAGGUCCAAAAGGAACUGAUACUCAAAGACAAACGCUGAGAACAAACGACGAAGAGUCAAUUUCUAAGCCACCUGAGUAUGAAGAUAUAGAUCAAGACGAUCUCCUUUCGGAGGAGAGGAUAAGUCUCAAUGAUGUUGCUUUAAUAGGACUGAUUUUGGGAUUAGUGUCAACAGUCUCUGCCGCAUUUACUUUGCUGUACAUCUGUUACUGUGGGAACAAACGAAAAAAGAAAACAGCUUUAUGCAAUAAUCGUCAAAAACAAGAAAAGGACGACAAUGAGGAUUCGCCAAUGGAUCAACAAUGUUCACGCUCCGCUGUGGGGUCUCAAGUAUCAACAAAAAUAGCCAAAUACUCGAGUGGAGAAUGUAAGAUGAACAAAAGCGAAGGUUGUGUGACACAAUAUCAGGCAUCUGACCCAAACUCUCUUCUUCGCACAGGCGGACAAGAUGUUCAAAAAACAAAUACGAUAACAGACUAUGGAGAAAAUACUGGUGAAGCCGGGCCACAGUAUGAAGAGGUCCAUGAAAAUCUUCAGUGGAACACUGCCAUAAUACCUGAAGUUGAAGCCAUAGCUUACCGUAUGAAUAUGGAAGAAAUUCAGCCGACCAAUGAUGUAAUUGCCCAAUGCACAAGUGGUACUCCCAAUGGAUUGGGGCACAGAGUUGAUGAUAGGAAAUUUAGUCACUCUUUGAUUAUGAAUCGACACCAAUCAGGAUAUAAAAAAAUACCAAUGACUGAACUAAAUUCAAGUACAGAGAGGAAAGAAGGCUAUGGAGACUAUGACGAGCAAAAACAGAGUCUGAAUGUAACUACGCAGCAGAAAAUUGGUGACAGUUUGAUGGAUAGUAAAAAGCCUCAAAACCUCAAUUUUACUCCAGAAAAUGCAAAAUCGGGUCUGCCACUGAGUUAUGCUCAACAAAAAUAUUCAAAAGGUCAAGUCCCACUGAUGGAUCCACAUUUCCCAUGUGAUGUGCAACAACAAUCAAGGCCGUACAUGCAACAAAUUUCAGCAUCGUUGCAACCAACAGCUGAACAAUCGCAACUGCUGCAGCUACAAAAAGAUCUUCAGGCAGUACAACAAGAAAGUAAUGAGGCAUCAAGCAUGAAGGAACUUUUCCACACUAGAAAGAAGAAUGCUGAUGAAAAUCAAGAGGCAUCUAAAUGUGUAAAAUGUAAUAAAAAGCAAAAAAUUAGGUAA